GUGGGGAAUCUUGCGCAAUGGGCGAAAGCCUGACGCAGCCAUGCCGCGUGAAUGAUGAAGGUCUUAGGAUUGUAAAAUUCUUUCACCGGGGACGAUAAUGACGGUACCCGGAGAAGAAGCUCCGGCUAACUUCGUGCCAGCAGCCGCGGUAAUACGAAGGGGGCUAGCGUUGCUCGGAAUUACUGGGCGUAAAGGGCGCGUAGGCGGACAGCUUAGUCAGAGGUGAAAGCCCAGGUCUCAACCUUGGAAUUGCCUUUGAUACUGGCUGUCUUGAGUUUGGGAGAGGUGAGUGGAACUCCGAGUGUAGAGGUGAAAUUCGUAGAUAUUCGGAAGAACACCAGUGGCGAAGGCGACUCACUGGCCCAAUACUGACGCUGAGGCGCGAAAGCGUGGGGAGCAAACAGGAUUAGAUACCCUAGUAGUCC
This 425-nucleotide ribosomal RNA is filed under the name uncultured bacterium. RNAcentral's name for it is "partial 16S ribosomal RNA". It matches the Rfam family "Bacterial small subunit ribosomal RNA", at positions 354 to 796 of the family's 1533-position model. The record is from RNAcentral.